AACGCUGGCGGCAUGCCUUACACAUGCAAGUCGAACGCGAAAGCGGGGGCAACCCCGCAAGUAGAGUGGCGAACGGGUGAGUAAUACAUCGGAACGUGUCCAGUAGCGGGGGAUAACCUCUCGAAAGAGAGGCUAAUACCGCAUACGACCUACGGGUGAAAGAGGGAGAUCGCAAGACCUCUCACUAUUGGAGCGGCCGAUGUCGGAUUAGCUAGUUGGCGGGGGUAAAAGCCCACCAAGGCUACGAUCCGUAGCUGGUCUGAGAGGACGACCAGCCACACUGGAACUGAGACACGGUCCAGACUCCUACGGGAGGCAGCAGUGGGGAAUUUUGGACAAUGGGCGCAAGCCUGAUCCAGCCAUGCCGCGUGAGUGAAGAAGGCCUUCGGGUUGAAAAGCUCUUUCGGCUGGGACGAAAAGGUCUGUGUCAACACCACGGAUCCAUGACGGUACCAGCAGAAGAAGCACCGGCUAACUACGUGCCAGCAGCCGCGGUAAUACGUAGGGUGCAGGCGUUAAUCGGAAUUACUGGGCGUAAAGCGUGCGCAGGCGGUUUACUAAGACAGGUGUGAAAUCCCCGGGCUUAACCUGGGAACUGCGCUUGUAACUGGUAGGCUGGAGUGUGGCAGAGGGGGGUGGAAUUCCACGUGUAGCAGUGAAAUGCGUAGAGAUGUGGAGGAACACCGAUGGCGAAGGCAGCCCCCUGGGCUAACACUGACGCUCAUGCACGAAAGCGUGGGGA
This 742-nucleotide ribosomal RNA is filed under the name uncultured soil bacterium. RNAcentral's name for it is "bacterial SSU rRNA". It matches the Rfam family "Bacterial small subunit ribosomal RNA", at positions 32 to 767 of the family's 1533-position model. The record is from RNAcentral.